AAAAUCCGUCGACUUUCAAAAUCGUGAGGGUUCAAGUCCCU
RNAcentral lists this transfer RNA (41 nucleotides) under Spermatophyta environmental sample. Its description in RNAcentral is "partial tRNA-Leu". The record is from RNAcentral. Lineage: Eukaryota; Viridiplantae; Streptophyta.